RNAcentral lists this ribosomal RNA (253 nucleotides) under uncultured bacterium. RNAcentral describes it as "partial 16S ribosomal RNA". It matches the Rfam family "Bacterial small subunit ribosomal RNA", at positions 524 to 776 of the family's 1533-position model. The record is from RNAcentral.
UACGUAGGGUGCAAGCGUUGUCCGGAAUUAUUGGGCGUAAAGAGCUCGUAGGCGGUUUGUCGCGUUGUUCGUGAAAACUCACAGCUCAACUGUGGGCGUGCGGGCGAUACGGGCAGACUGGAGUACUGCAGGGGAGACUGGAAUUCCUGGUGUAGCGGUGGAAUGCGCAGAUAUCAGGAGGAACACCGGUGGCGAAGGCGGGUCUCUGGGCAGUAACUGACGCUGAGGAGCGAAAGCGUGGGGAGCGAACAGG